UACGAAGGGGGCUAGCGUUGUCCGGAAUUAUUGGGCGUAAAGAGCUCGUAGGCGGUUUGUCACGUCGGGAGUGAAAACUCGGGGCUUAACCCCGAGCCUGCUUCCGAUACGGGCUGACUAGAGGUAUGCAGGGGAGAACGGAAUUCCUGGUGUAGCGGUGAAAUGCGCAGAUAUCAGGAGGAACACCGGUGGCGAAGGCGGUUCUCUGGGCAUUACCUGACGCUGAGGAGCGAAAGCGUGGGUAGCAAACAGG
Molecule: ribosomal RNA, 253 nt
Filed under: uncultured bacterium
Lineage: Bacteria
Description: partial 16S ribosomal RNA
Rfam family: Bacterial small subunit ribosomal RNA
Source: RNAcentral